Molecule: RNA transcript, 2497 nt
Organism: Pomacea canaliculata
Lineage: Eukaryota; Metazoa; Mollusca; Gastropoda; Architaenioglossa; Ampullariidae
Gene name: probable RNA-binding protein 18
Exons: 9
Source: RefSeq, a predicted model, not a curated record
UUACCUCCCCUGGACGGCUCUCUGGCGGCGGAAAGCAGGAAACGUGUGACGGUUGAAAACAGCAGAAGAACAUCUCAACAAAUGUUAAACCUGCCGUGCAUUUUGGCGGAUCUGAAGAGGAAUAGUUACAGUUACGGUUCAUAUGCUAUCUCCAAACCGGCAUAUAGGUUCAGGUGUUUCUGAGAUGCAGUGAUUAGCUCUGAAAUACUUUGUCAUCUACUGUGACUCCAUCGCUCACGACACAAACUAAACAAAGCUUCAGGUCAAGUUUGGCAAUGAGUGGUGUUUCAACCACUCAGCUUUCUUCAGAUGAAUCUGAAGCCACAAAUGAUCGGCGUCUUUGGAUUGGCAAUCUGGAUCUACGGAUAUCUGAAUUUGUCCUGCUGAAGCUGGUACAAAAAUAUGGGGAACUGGAGCGGUUUGAUUUUGUUUACCACAUUCAUGGCCCAGACAAAGGCAAGCCGCGCGGCUACUGCUUUGUGACCUAUGCAACCAGACAGAUAGCAGAAAAAGCCAUGAAGAGUCUCAAUGGGAAACUGGCAUUGUCGCGUCGCCUUGCAGUUCAUUGGGCUAAAAAUGAAGUACCACUGGAACCAAAAGCCCCUCUCACGACUCUGUCAGCAUUGUCUGAGCCCAGGCCAGAACCCACGCAAGAAAGCACUGUCAAUACCAUCCGAGCAAUUGAAGCCAAGCUGAGGGCGAUGCAACAGACUCAGAAAGAUUUUACACUGAACACAGUGCCUACAGCACCACCUGGCUCCAGUCGCUACAGCAGUGUCAACGCCGUCAAGAAGCCAGUUUCAAGUGGGAGGGGCAGACACCGGCCCUAUCAGCCUUCAAAUCACCACCCUCGGCGACGGUGAUGGAAUCAGCAGCAGACUUUGUAGGAAGUUUCCAGAAUAUUUCUGUGUCAACAAACAGAUAAGUCUGAGAACACAGGGAGCUUGCAGAAUUUGGAAUAUUGUUCAGAUGGAAUAUGAUAGACUGAAAGUGCAGGUGACUGACAAAGUGCUGAAGGGAAGUGCUCUGAUGAUGACAUAUCUGUAGGCAAUGCCAGCCAAAAUAUCUGCAAGUUACUAAACCUAAAAUUGUGCAAUUUCAAAACAUAAGACAUUGUUUAUGUUACAACAAAGCCAUGUUAGUAGACUGACAGGCUUUGAGCUAGAUGAAGUCAUAAACAGAUGAAAACUACCUUUGGAAUUGUUGUUUGAGAUGCACAUACACAAUCAUGAUAUUGAAGAUUUCCAGCUUUCAGAUUUCUUGCCAAAAACUGUGGACAGUCAUCCAUUGAUAUUUAUAUUUCACUCGUGGAUACUGAUAUUUCAUUGAACAGCCUUUUUCAUGCCUUCAUAUCUGCUUGUCCUUAUUCUUUAGUUCUCCUCUAUACACACAGCAUAUCAUUACACAUCAGUACACACACUCAUUCUUCUUGUUCCUAUUCACCCCCAGUGGAGCAUAGGGCCACAACACACACUCAUAGCGAUGAUUUUCUCCCCAAAAACUUGCAAGAGCAGCAUCAUCUCUGCAGGUUUCUGUUCCUAAUGAGAUCAUAAAGCGUAUUCAAUGUGAUUAUAUGGGCAUGCUUACAAAAUCAAUUACUUUCUUUCAUUUACUGCAGUGAAGGCAUAGACAUGGAUCCAUGCUUUGUAAAGUUUUAGCUACGCAGCUACAAACCAUGCAUAGGCACUUGGUGGAGCAGCAAAGUUGUGGGGGAGAGGUACUCCAAGCAAAGCGACCAGCAGAGUGACGGAGGACAUGGAGUGGGACUGUUGUAUCAGAUGGAAACUGCUCAAUGAAGUAGCCGGGAGGGAGUUCAGCGUGAGAUGUCAAACAUCUUGGAAGAAGUGCAAUUAAGACAAGAGACACAAAGGUUGCUGAGGUCAUGUCUACCAAUGAGCAUCCCGGCCAUUGCAACAACGACGACUAUAGAACAGCGUCUGGCGAUGACGACGACGUCAUGUUAGGCAACAACGGCGACGAGAACAGCAUAAUCUUUGUUUGCACCAUGUUGCCCCAAGCGUACACAACGGACUGAAGGGACGCCGGUCACCAGCUGUUGUCAUUUCAAAUAAACGCAAAGAACCGCAAAUAAACAGCGAGAGAGAGAAGUAGCACUACAAAUAUUGUACAACCGCUGGUCCACACUCUCAUUCUUUCGCAAUUUCUACCUGUCAUUCUGCUGUCUGCGGAAACAGAAUCUUUCUGCGAAUUACUUUGUGCAACUUGAGGUCUAGUGUUGUUUGUGGGUACAGUUGAUAUUGGUGUCAGGUGUCAGGUGUUGUGUGACACCACUCAGACAGUUGCACCUCUGGGUGGUGUUUCUCACCAAACGUUUGUUUGUUGCAGACUCCACUCAUUUCUACAUAGUGGUGCCCGCUUCGCACUUGACAACAACCUCGACAAAAAAAAUACGACCCUGUAAAUAUAAAAUAUCUGUUUUUGUUGAUACGACCUUGUAAUAUGAAAUACAUGUGUUGGUAGUCUGACACAACUCUUA